UACGGGGGGGGCAAGCGUUGUUCGGAAUUACUGGGCGUAAAGGGCUCGUAGGCGGCCAACUAAGUCAUACGUGAAAUCCCUCGGCUUAACCGGGGAACUGCAUCCGAUACUGGAUGGCUUGAGUUCGGGAGAGGGAUGCGGAAUUCCAGGUGUAGCGGUGAAAUGCGUAGAUAUCUGGAGGAACACCGGUGGCGAAGGCGGCAUCCUGGACCGACACUGACGCUGAGGAGCGAAAGCCAGGGGAGCAAACGGG
RNAcentral lists this ribosomal RNA (253 nucleotides) under uncultured bacterium. Its description in RNAcentral is "partial 16S ribosomal RNA". It matches the Rfam family "Bacterial small subunit ribosomal RNA", at positions 524 to 776 of the family's 1533-position model. The record is from RNAcentral.